RNAcentral lists this ribosomal RNA (327 nucleotides) under Triticum aestivum (bread wheat). Its description in RNAcentral is "partial small subunit ribosomal RNA". Lineage: Eukaryota; Viridiplantae; Streptophyta; Magnoliopsida; Poales; Poaceae. The record is from RNAcentral.
AUGGUUAAUUAUAUACUUUAUAUAAUAAUAAUGCAGAUGAAUCGGCAAUGGAUGUACGGUCCCCGACUCUCCGGCGAGUUCACUACGGGUUUGAAAGAUUUCCUCGUAGUGGCAAAUGCGAACAAGCAGCAAGGUUUUAUUAUCUGUCCAUGUGCUGUCUGUAAGAAUCAGAAGGGUUACUCCUCCUCAAGAGACAUUCACAUGCACCUGCUUCGGCACGGUUUCAUGCGAAGCUAUAAUUGUUGGACCAAGCAUGGAGAAAGAGGGGUUAGAAUGGAAGAAGAUGAAGAAGGGGAUGAUAUCGAUGACAACUAUCAUGAUCAUUUC